UGCCGUCGGUGCUAGCAGGACCCUGAUUUUA
This 31-nucleotide non-coding RNA is filed under the name Mus musculus (house mouse). The record is from RNAcentral. Lineage: Eukaryota; Metazoa; Chordata; Mammalia; Rodentia; Muridae.